This 429-nucleotide ribosomal RNA is filed under the name uncultured bacterium. RNAcentral describes it as "bacterial SSU rRNA". It matches the Rfam family "Bacterial small subunit ribosomal RNA", at positions 355 to 776 of the family's 1533-position model. The record is from RNAcentral.
UGGGGAAUUUUGGACAAUGGGCGCAAGCCUGAUCCAGCAAUGCCGCGUGAGUGAAGAAGGCCUUCGGGUUGUAAAGCUCUUUUGUCAGGGAAGAAACGGUGAGCUCUAAUACAGUUUGCUAAUGACGGUACCUGAAGAAUAAGCACCGGCUAACUACGUGCCAGCAGCCGCGGUAAUACGUAGGGUGCAAGCGUUAAUCGGAAUUACUGGGCGUAAAGCGUGCGCAGGCGGUUAUGUAAGUCAGAUGUGAAAUCCCCGGGCUCAACCUGGGAAUGGCAUUUGAGACUGCAUGGCUAGAGUGUGUCAGAGGGGGGUAGAAUUCCACGUGUAGCAGUGAAAUGCGUAGAGAUGUGGAGGAAUACCGAUGGCGAAGGCAGCCCCCUGGGAUAACACUGACGCUCAUGCACGAAAGCGUGGGGAGCAAACAGG